AACAUCGCGCACCUGCGGGAACCUGCGGAAGGAUCAUUAAUGAUUGGUGGCUGCUGCUGACUAGUGUUUCUAGUAUGUGCACGCCACACCUUCAAUCCCACUUACACCUGUGCACCUUCUGUAAUAGAUCUAUGUGGAUACGGAGAUAUGAAAGUUUGCGCUCUCGUACUCUGUUGAAGCAGUCUACUACGUUUUUUUACACACACACAAUAGUCAUUGAAUGUAUUUUUUAUUCUUAUG
RNAcentral lists this unclassified non-coding RNA (240 nucleotides) under soil metagenome. RNAcentral describes it as "partial contains 5.8S ribosomal RNA, internal transcribed spacer 2, and large subunit ribosomal RNA". The record is from RNAcentral.